AUGGCGAGAGAUAGGGCAAGGGCCAGGUCGAGCCGCGACGCAACAACGCCAGGAGGUCCAAGGCAGGCAGGCGGUGGAGGAUCCCUUCUUAUGGCCGCCAAGUCCAAUCCGGGUCGGGCACUCCAUGGUUUUGUGUUGGAGACGAACUCCAACUCGAUCCAAAUCAGAGUAGAACAACACUGGAGCAAGAGGUAG
This 195-nucleotide ribosomal RNA is filed under the name Triticum aestivum (bread wheat). RNAcentral's name for it is "partial small subunit ribosomal RNA". Lineage: Eukaryota; Viridiplantae; Streptophyta; Magnoliopsida; Poales; Poaceae. The record is from RNAcentral.